This 234-nucleotide ribosomal RNA is filed under the name uncultured bacterium. RNAcentral describes it as "partial 16S ribosomal RNA". It matches the Rfam family "Bacterial small subunit ribosomal RNA", at positions 28 to 238 of the family's 1533-position model. The record is from RNAcentral.
GACGAACGCUGGCGGCGUGCCUAAUACAUGCAAGUCGAACGAAGUUGUUUUAACUGGUGCUUGCACCGACUUAAACAACUGAGUGGCGAACGGGUGAGUAACACGUGGGUAACCUGCCCAGAAGUGGGGGAUAACAUUUGGAAACAGAUGCUAAUACCGCAUAAUAGAUAGAACCACAUGGUCCUAUUUUGAAAGAUGGCCUUUGUGCUAUCACUUCUGGAUGGACCCGCGGUG